Molecule: ribosomal RNA, 452 nt
Filed under: uncultured bacterium
Lineage: Bacteria
Description: bacterial SSU rRNA
Rfam family: Bacterial small subunit ribosomal RNA
Source: RNAcentral
AUGAACGCUGGCGGCGUGCCUUAAGCAUGCAAGUCGAACGGGAUUUUGGAGUCGCAAGAUUUUAAUUUUCAGUGGCGGACGGGUGAGUAUAAGCAGGGAACAUACCCAAUUCUUAGGGAUAGCUCGUCGAAAGACGGGGUAAUACCCAAUGUGGUCGCAAGACUAAAGUUCCGGUGCAAACCGGGACGGAAAUGGAGUGGCCCUGCAUCUAUCAGCUAGUUGGUGGGGUAAAGGCCUACCAAGGCGACGACGGAUAGGGGGUGUGAGAGCACGACCCCCCACAAUGGCACUGAGACACGGGCCAUACAUCUACGGAUGGCAGCAACUGGGAAUAUUCGGCAAUGGACGAAAGUCUGACCGAGCGACGCCGCGUGAGGGAUGAAGGUUCUCGGAUCGUAAACCUCUUUUGCCCAGCCAUCGAGGCGGGGCGAAUAAGCACCUACAAACUACGU